CCCUGGCUCAGGACGAACGCUGGCGGCGUGCCUAAUACAUGCAAGUCGAGCGGGUUUAUCCUUCGGGAUAAGCUAGCGGCGGACGGGUGAGUAACACGUAGGUAACCUGCCUUUAAGACUGGGAUAACUAUCGGAAACGAUAGCUAAGACCGGAUAACUGGUUUUCUCGCAUGAGAGAAUCAUAAAACACGGAGCAAUCUGUGGCUUAAAGAUGGGCCUGCGGCGCAUUAGCUAGUUGGUGAGGUAACGGCUCACCAAGGCGACGAUGCGUAGCCGACCUGAGAGGGUGAACGGCCACACUGGGACUGAGACACGGCCCAGACUCCUACGGGAGGCAGCAGUAGGGAAUCUUCCGCAAUGGACGCAAGUCUGACGGAGCAACGCCGCGUGAGUGAUGAAGGUUUUCGGAUCGUAAAGCUCUGUUGCCCUAGACGAACAGCAUGAGGAGUAACUGCCUUGUGUGUGACGGUAUAGGAGAAGAAAGCCCCGGCUAACUA
Molecule: ribosomal RNA, 497 nt
Filed under: Paenibacillaceae bacterium CL6.84
Lineage: Bacteria; Bacillati; Bacillota; Bacilli; Caryophanales; Paenibacillaceae
Description: bacterial SSU rRNA
Rfam family: Bacterial small subunit ribosomal RNA
Source: RNAcentral